This 352-nucleotide ribosomal RNA is filed under the name Sphingobacteriales bacterium. Its description in RNAcentral is "bacterial SSU rRNA". It matches the Rfam family "Bacterial small subunit ribosomal RNA", at positions 1 to 349 of the family's 1533-position model. Lineage: Bacteria; Pseudomonadati; Bacteroidota; Sphingobacteriia; Sphingobacteriales. The record is from RNAcentral.
UACAAUGGAGAGUUUGAUCCUGGCUCAGGAUGAACGCUAGCGGCAGGCUUAACACAUGCAAGUCGAGGGGCAGCACAGGUAGCAAUACUGGGUGGCGACCGGCAAACGGGUGCGGAACACGUACACAAUCUACCUUUAUCUGGGGGAUAGCCCGAAGAAAUUCGGAUUAACACCCCAUAAAAUAACAGAGUGGCAUCACUUAAUUAUUAAAACUCCGGUGGAUAGAGAUGAGUGUGCGUCCCAUUAGCUAGUUGGUAGGGUAACGGCCUACCAAGGCGACGAUGGGUAGCUGGUGUGAGAGCACGACCAGCCACACGGGCACUGAGACACGGGCCCGACUCCUACGGGAGGC